Molecule: non-coding RNA, 73 nt
Organism: Stegodyphus mimosarum
Lineage: Eukaryota; Metazoa; Arthropoda; Arachnida; Araneae; Eresidae
Source: Rfam
GCCAACGUGGUGUAGUGGUCUGCAUGUUCGACGCGUAACCAAGAGGUCCGUGGUUCGAUUCCCGGCGAAGGCG